CCUANGGGAGGCUGCAGUGAGGAAUUUUGCACAAUGGGGGAAACCCUGAUGCAGCGACGCCGCGUGAGUGACGAAGGCCUUCGGGUCGUAAAGCUCUGUCAGUAGGGAAGAAAUGUGCGAUGGCUAAUAUCCAUUGUACUUGACGGUACCUACAAAGGAAGCACCGGCUAACUCCGUGCCAGCAGCCGCGGUAAUACGGAGGGUGCGAGCGUUGUUCGGAUUUACUGGGCGUAAAGGGCGCGUAGGCGGUCUUAUAAGCCAGAUGUGAAAGCCCACGGCUCAACCGUGGAAGUGCAUCUGGAACUGUAAGACUUGAGUACUGGAGGGGAGUGUGGAAUUCCCGGUGUAGAGGUGAAAUUCGUAGAUAUCGGGAGGAAUACCGGUGGCGAAGGCGACACUCUGGACAGAUACUGACGCUGAGGCGCGAAAGCGUGGGGAGCAAACAGGAUUAGAUACCCCANUANUC
Molecule: ribosomal RNA, 466 nt
Filed under: uncultured bacterium
Lineage: Bacteria
Description: bacterial SSU rRNA
Rfam family: Bacterial small subunit ribosomal RNA
Source: RNAcentral